GAUGAACGCUGGCGGCGUGCCUAAUACAUGCAAGUCGAGCGAACAGACGAGGAGCUUGCUCCUCUGACGUUAGCGGCGGACGGGUGAGUAACACGUGGAUAACCUACCUAUAAGACUGGGAUAACUUCGGGAAACCGGAGCUAAUACCGGAUAAUAUAUUGAACCGCAUGGUUCAAUAGUGAAAGACGGUUUUGCUGUCACUUAUAGAUGGAUCCGCGCCGCAUUAGCUAGUUGGUAAGGUAACUGCUUACCAAGGCGACGAUGCGUAGCCGACCUGAGAGGGUGAUCGGCCACACUGGAACUGAGACACGGUCCAGACUCCUACGGGAGGCAGCAGUAGGGAAUCUUCCGCAAUGGGCGAAAGCCUGACGGAGCAACGCCGCGUGAGUGAUGAAGGUCUUCGGAUCGUAAAACUCUGUUAUUAGGGAAGAACAAAUGUGUAAGUAACUAUGCACGUCUUGACGGUACCUAAUCAGAAAGCCACGGCUAACUACGUG
Molecule: ribosomal RNA, 497 nt
Filed under: uncultured bacterium
Lineage: Bacteria
Description: partial 16S ribosomal RNA
Rfam family: Bacterial small subunit ribosomal RNA
Source: RNAcentral